RNAcentral lists this unclassified non-coding RNA (410 nucleotides) under Hevea brasiliensis (rubber tree). Lineage: Eukaryota; Viridiplantae; Streptophyta; Magnoliopsida; Malpighiales; Euphorbiaceae. The record is from RNAcentral.
GGAUCAACUUGAUCUCCAAUGCCAACCUUUGACCUGUGAACAUGUAGCUAAUGGAUGCGGUGAUAUUGGUUCAAGUCACAUUUAGAAAUGUGCCCACCAAGGUAGUUGGGUUUCUAAUAGUCUCAGUAGAGGGAGGACAACAUAUGAGGGUCGAUGUUCAUUUGGGUUCUGGAAACACUGAGAUGUUAAAGGGUCUGUUCACCUGCCAUGGUUGUUUGAAGGCACUGAUUUGAAUUACGAGUGCUCUAAUCAGCAGAACUAGAGAUGCAAACAAUUAUUGAUUCUAGGAUUAACGAAUUUGGUGGAUCAUGAACGGCUAAUUUAGUUCACGCUUGAUUUUCUGUCUACUGUUAGGUCGUUGCAGUUUGUGUUUGACUUGAUUUUAUAUUCCCUUGACAAAAACCUAGUUG